RNAcentral lists this ribosomal RNA (422 nucleotides) under uncultured prokaryote. RNAcentral describes it as "bacterial SSU rRNA". It matches the Rfam family "Bacterial small subunit ribosomal RNA", at positions 355 to 774 of the family's 1533-position model. The record is from RNAcentral.
UAAGGAAUAUUGGGCAAUGGACGCAAGUCUGACCCAGCCAUGCCGCGUGAAGGAAGACGGCCCUAUGGGUUGUAAACUGCUUUUGUAUGGGAGCAAUAAGGUCUAUGCGUAGACUGAUGAGAGUACCAUACGAAUAAGCAUCGGCUAACUCCGUGCCAGCAGCCGCGGUAAUACGGGGGAUGCAAGCGUUAUCCGGAUUUAUUGGGUUUAAAGGGUGCGUAGGCGGUUUGAUAAGUCAGCGGUGAAAUAUUUCAGCUUAACUGAAAGGGUGCCGUUGAUACUGUCAGGCUUGAAUAUGGUUGCUGUGGGUGGAAUGUGUGGUGUAGCGGUGAAAUGCUUAGAUAUCACACAGAAUAUCGAUUGCGAAGGCAGCUCACAAAGCCAUUAUUGACGCUGAUGCACGAAAGUGUGGGGAUCAAACA